AAGAGGCGGUAUUGACAGCUGUGGAGGCAGCCCGCGUUCCCGGCAUGCCCCGGGGCGGCGGGGUUGGCUCUAACGAAUUUGAAUGAGGAGCCUCAGCGCUUUCGGCGCCAUUUUCGAGUGAUGCCUGAUCUCAUCAAUCUAGCGGGAGAGACGGGCUAACCUGUCCGAGAGUAUAGCACCACUAGGACUCCGCCGGAAAAAAUCACUAAAAAAAUCGCCAAAAAUUACUCGGAUCAAAGGGCAGUCGGCGGAGCUUCGCCAAGGUUGGCGCAGUCGGUUUUGACCCGUAGGAGAGAGCCAGUUCUGGAGAACAACCUAACUUCUUUGAUUGAAUACUCACAUAAUGCAUUGGAACAUGAUAGGAGAUUAAGAUUUAAUAGUGGUAAAAUGAAGACUAUAAUAAAAUAAUCCCUUGCUUAGCCCAGAAAUUCUUACCUUUCUUACCUACUUGAUGAAGAUGUCAUCUGAAAAGUAUACUGCAAGGAACAACACGUUAUUUAUUAAUUCUGCUUUUAGCAAGGUGGAUAAUUACUAUUCCUUCCUCAUGGAAAAAGUUUUAUUCUAAAUGUUAUUUCUCAUUGAAUAUUAUUUAAAAAGAGAAAGAUUAAUAUUCUAAACUUUUGAGAUAGAUUUUGGCUCUAGUAAGUAUUUAGAUAUAUCACUUACAUAUCUGGGAGAAGAAAUAAGAGACCAUCAUCAAUAUAGUCCCAUCUGCUAAAAAUUUUAUUUUAUUCAUGUCAAGGGAGUACUUAAAACUUGUUUUAUUACUAAAAACUUGAGCUGCAUUUUUAAUGCAGAACUAACUCCUCCACCAGAAAUGUAAGAGUUUGUGUUCUUACUUUGUUUAUUUAUAAAAUACAUUCCAGUUACUUCUUUUGUCUUUUUCUUUAAGGCUAUAUGCAAUGAAAAAUACAUUGACAAAAUGUUUAAACCCUUUAUGUUAAAUUACUGUGCAGGAUGACAAGUUGUUGUUUUUGUCUUUAUUAUGCUGAAAUUAAAUUCAAUGUUUAUAAUUCCUA
Long non-coding RNA from Carlito syrichta (Philippine tarsier), 1019 nucleotides. RefSeq lists it as uncharacterized. The record is from RefSeq and is a predicted model, not a curated record. NCBI's taxonomy places the organism in Eukaryota, Metazoa, Chordata, Mammalia, Primates, Tarsiidae. The transcript is spliced from 5 exons.